Molecule: long non-coding RNA, 166 nt
Filed under: Pongo abelii (Sumatran orangutan)
Lineage: Eukaryota; Metazoa; Chordata; Mammalia; Primates; Hominidae
Description: lincRNA
Source: RNAcentral
CAAGCUUAAGCUGAGCACCUCGAAGGGCUUCUUUUUAUGUUGAAAGGCACGGGUUUGGAUGGCGGUUCAUCAGAGGUCAAUACCCCAGUUUGAGAAAGUCCACUGUGGGGAGGAAAGAGAGACUUGUAAGUACCAACUGUGCUCCACUCUGGUUUUGUCUGUAAGC